CCAGCUGUUCUAACACCUCCUGCCUGCCAGUACUGACUCUUUAUGCAUGGGGGCUUCCGGCUUAUCUAUACUUCGAAGACAGUGAACUAGGUAAUAUUAAAGGUUAACCAGAUAUAGGACUCCUCUGUCUUGCUACGAUGGACAGCCACAAGGAUUCACUUGAAUAAAAGAAGCAACAGUGGGUGCCAGGCUGUUUGCGGACCUGGGUUUGGUGUCUAACAUCCAUGUGGUGGCUCACAUCCAUCAGUAACUCCAUUCGAGGAGAUCCAAUACCCUCUACUGCCCUCCUCUAGUACCACACAGUGCUGUGGAUUGAAUGGCGGGCCUUGCACAGAAAUGUGCUGUUUUGUUAUACAUUUAUUACAAAGAAUCUCACAAAAAGAAAAUAUUUCAAAAAGAAUGCCAGGCUAAAGAACCUCCACCUGGAGAACUGGGGGAAGGCAGGGCAAUAAUAUCAACGUCAACAUACAGCACCCUCUGGCCAUACUUUAGCAGUUCCAGGAUGGCCAAGACGACAUCGUUGAUGUAACAGAAACCUGAGGCGUCAGACUUCUUUACAUGAUGCAGUCCCCCAGCCUGGCUCGCAGUGAUGUCCCUCUGAUGUGUAUCAAGUUUCACAGCACUUUCCAAAGAGCCACCAAUAGACAACUGACAACUCAGACAGGCCAUCGAUUACCGGGAAGUCCUCACCAACGCGGAAUCUCUGCAUCUGCUUGCUGUAUUUAGACACAUUAUCUGGGCGAAUAGAGCACAAGAGUUUAAUGUAGUCAUCACUGUGGGACUUGGUCAUCUCCUCAGCGUUGGCUCUGUGAGGACGAUAGAUUUCCAUUUUUUGGUAGAGAUGUAGUUGAGCUGCAAAUCACGAGUCAUGUGGAUUCGGUGAGGCUUCAUUGGGUGGCCCUGUCCAUAAGAUAGUUUCCAACAUCCCUGUUAACAGACGUUCCUCUUGCCCUGAGUCUGUGCCAUCUUUCUCACCACCCAGUGCUCCUGCCAGUCUGAUGUUUUAAUAUUUUUAGAUGGUGAUGCUUUGAGUUUAAAUGGCCUUUGACAAAUUCUAUCCUAAUUUCUAAUUAAGACAAGGAAAGAAAACAAAGAUGGAUAAGGACCAUAAAGUAAUGAAUGGACUGGAAACAGAAGUAAACUUAUUCAACAAUAAAA
RNAcentral lists this long non-coding RNA (1158 nucleotides) under Mus musculus (house mouse). RNAcentral's name for it is "RIKEN cDNA E330011O21 gene". Lineage: Eukaryota; Metazoa; Chordata; Mammalia; Rodentia; Muridae. The record is from RNAcentral.